RNAcentral lists this ribosomal RNA (580 nucleotides) under Escherichia coli. RNAcentral describes it as "bacterial LSU rRNA". It matches the Rfam family "Bacterial large subunit ribosomal RNA", at positions 1 to 611 of the family's 2925-position model. The record is from RNAcentral. Lineage: Bacteria; Pseudomonadati; Pseudomonadota; Gammaproteobacteria; Enterobacterales; Enterobacteriaceae.
GGGUUGUGAGGUUAAGCGACUAAGCGUACACGGUGGAUGCCCUGGCAGUCAGAGGCGAUGAAGGACGUGCUAAUCUGCGAUAAGCGUCGGUAAGGUGAUAUGAACCGUUAUAACCGGCGAUUUCCGAAUGGGGAAACCCAGUGUGAUUCGUCACACUAUCAUUAACUGAAUCCAUAGGUUAAUGAGGCGAACCGGGGGAACUGAAACAUCUAAGUACCCCGAGGAAAAGAAAUCAACCGAGAUUCCCCCAGUAGCGGCGAGCGAACGGGGAGCAGCCCAGAGCCUGAAUCAGUGUGUGUGUUAGUGGAAGCGUCUGGAAAGGCGCGCGAUACAGGGUGACAGCCCCGUACACAAAAAUGCACAUACUGUGAGCUCGAUGAGUAGGGCGGGACACGUGGUAUCCUGUCUGAAUAUGGGGGGACCAUCCUCCAAGGCUAAAUACUCCUGACUGACCGAUAGUGAACCAGUACCGUGAGGGAAAGGCGAAAAGAACCCCGGCGAGGGGAGUGAAAAAGAACCUGAAACCGUGUACGUACAAGCAGUGGGAGCACGCUUAGGCGUGUGACUGCGUACCUUUUGU